Long non-coding RNA from Crotalus tigris (Tiger rattlesnake), 332 nucleotides. RefSeq lists it as uncharacterized. NCBI's taxonomy places the organism in Eukaryota, Metazoa, Chordata, Lepidosauria, Squamata, Viperidae. The record is from RefSeq and is a predicted model, not a curated record. The transcript is spliced from 3 exons.
GGAUGAUGGGCAGCAUGUAUGGAGACUAAAACACUUUAACAAGCCUGCCUACUGUAAUCUCUGUUUGAAUAUGCUCAUAGGAUUAGGCAAACAGGGUCUCUCUUAUUCGUGUUAUGCAUCACUUUUGGGUGGAAGGAAAUUGUCCAACAAAAUGUGAUAAAUGUCAUAAAACUAUAAAAUGUUACCAAGGAUUGACUGGGUUACAUUGUGUAUGGUGCCAAACCACACUACAUAAUAAGUGUGCUUCACAUCUAAAGCCUGAAUGUGAUUGUGGCAUUCUGAAGGAUCACAUUCUACCUCCCUCCUCAAUCUGUCCAGUAGUACUGGUAAGC